This 433-nucleotide ribosomal RNA is filed under the name uncultured bacterium. RNAcentral's name for it is "partial 16S ribosomal RNA". It matches the Rfam family "Bacterial small subunit ribosomal RNA", at positions 28 to 507 of the family's 1533-position model. The record is from RNAcentral.
GACGAACGCUGGCGGCAUGCCUAACACAUGCAAGUCGAACGAUACCUUCGGGUCUAGUUGCGCACUGCUGGGUAACGCGUGGGAACCUGCCCUUAAGUUCGGAAUAACUCCCCGAAAGGGGUCCUAAUACCGGAUAAUGUCUUCUGACCAAAGAUUUAUCGCCUUUGGAUGGGCCCGCGGUGGUUUAGCUAGUUGGUAGGGUAAACGCAUAGCAUGGGGACGAUCCAUAGCUGGUAUGAGAGGAGGAUCAGUCACACUGGGACUGAGACACGGCCCAGACUCCUACGGGAGGGAGGAGUGGGGAAUAUUGGGAAAUGGGGGCAAGCCUGAUAAAGCAAUGCCGCGUGUGUCAUGAAGGCCUUAGGGUUGUAAAGCUCCUUUAGCCGGGACGAUAAUGACAGUACCGGGAGAAUAAGCGCCGGCUAACUCCGUG